UCGGGAAUUUUGGGCAAUGGGGGAAAGCCUGACCCCGCAACGCCGCGUGAAGGAUGAAGUAUUUCGGUAUGUAAACUUCGUAAGAAUAGGAAGAAUAAAUGACGGUACUAUUUGUAAGGUCCGGCUAACUACGUGCCAGCAGCCGCGGUAAUACGUAGGGACCAAGCGUUGUUCGGAUUUACUGGGCGUAAAGGGCGCGUAGGCGGCGUGGUAAGUCAUCUGUGAAAUCUCCGAGCUUAACUCGGAACGGUCAGAUGAUACUGCUGUGCUAGAGUACAGAAAGGGCAAUCGGAAUUCUUGGUGUAGCGGUGAAAUGCGUAGAUAUCAAGAGGAACACCUGAGGCGAAGGCGGGUUGCUAGGCUGAUACUGACGCUGAGGCGCGAAAGCUAGGGUAGCAAACGGGAUUAGAUACCCAUGUAGUCCCUGAGCGGGCUGGCAAGGCGCAU
This 447-nucleotide ribosomal RNA is filed under the name uncultured bacterium. RNAcentral describes it as "bacterial SSU rRNA". It matches the Rfam family "Bacterial small subunit ribosomal RNA", at positions 355 to 825 of the family's 1533-position model. The record is from RNAcentral.